GAUGCAUUCGUUUGCGCUCGCUUGACGAAUGGAAAUGUCGAUACCGGAAGGCUGAAAAGGCUGGGGUUAGGUGUCAACGAGGUACGACGAGUCCGAGUACUUGCACCGUUUCAGUUGCAAGGAGCAUAAAAAUAUUAUUAAAGAAAAUUUUUUUCCUCUCUCACACAAAACAGAUACAAAGUACAAAUUUUACAAUGUUAAUAUAAGCAAAGUCUGUUUGAGAGACUGGCGACUAUAUUAGGAGACUUGUAUUAGAGAUUUCCAGUCUCUCCACAUCCGGACCGUAUGUAAAUUAGGUACAAAAAUUUGAAUUUAGUAUUUAAAUGGUACGCGGAAAAGAGUAGUUCUGAAAAACUAUUACAAAUAUGUAACCAAUAUAAGUGAUUGUGUGUGUUAGUAUAUGUAUAUGAAGCAUGUGUGAUAGUGUAUGUAUAAGUGAG
Molecule: unclassified non-coding RNA, 440 nt
Filed under: Melitaea cinxia (Glanville fritillary)
Lineage: Eukaryota; Metazoa; Arthropoda; Insecta; Lepidoptera; Nymphalidae
Description: misc RNA ENSMCXG00005000172.1
Source: RNAcentral